Molecule: long non-coding RNA, 1284 nt
Organism: Pyrus x bretschneideri (Chinese white pear)
Lineage: Eukaryota; Viridiplantae; Streptophyta; Magnoliopsida; Rosales; Rosaceae
Exons: 9
Source: RefSeq, a predicted model, not a curated record
GUCCUCUGCCAUGACUUAUGGGCUUUCCUCUGAUUUUAGAGAGAGAGAGAGAAAGAAAGAGAGAAUGAGGGGGAAGGCAUGGUUGUGUGCAGUUUGUGGGGUUGGCCGAUCAGGAAAGGGUGACUGAGGGAAGUCUGGGUGACUUUGAGGGACUGAUGGAUUGGAGAGAGAUGAGAGCUACAGGAAAAUAAUUGCAGAAAGGGAACGUACUUGCCACCAAGGCUGCAAUAAAAUCUGCACCCACAACUGGAGGAGUCAAGACCCCUAACCAUUACCACCCUGGAACCGUCGCUCUUUGAAGGGUUAGCGUUGGAGUUGGAAAUAAGUAGGACUUUGUAUGGAUUAUUCUCUCCUUUCCCUGCAUUAGAAGGUCAUCAGUGCCCUUUUGCCUCCAAAGUUUCCAAACUAACUGAACUCAUGUCCCUCAGGCCCAUUUCUCCUCCUUGACUUGCUGUGAAGAAGCUCAACUUCUCAGGCGGAAUCACCAUCACCACCCAACAAACCCAAGUGGGGGAAUUUCGAUUACUGUUCUUGGAGGGAGGUGAACUAUAUGCAUGGUUUUUUGGGAUGAGUUAGGAAUAUCCACCUGAAAACAGCAUGGAAGAUAAAGAACUGGGGUUCUAAGCCAUACAUUUCAAUCAAACCUUUGGGUGAAUAAUAUGGUAUACGAGAUUGAUCGAAGAGAGCAACAAAUUAUAGGAGGAGUGUUGGUAAAAAAUUUAAGGGAACUGGUUAAGGCUCGACACGAUGAACAAAAUCGAGGGACAUUAGUGAGAUAUUAUGACACUGCUCCGGGACCUAGUACAAAGAGAGCAGUGAAAAUAGAAAAAACAAGAAUGGGUUUGCGUGUUUAUGGUAGGGGUGCAAACAAAAACAAGUUGGUGGUCCAUACCACAUAUCCACCUACAAAUCGUAGUAAUCUACCAAAAGAAAAGGUUUUGUCGGAUAAAAAACCUUUGCAACAUUUUUUGGGGUUUUUCAGUGGGAUUUACAACUUUAGUGGCUGGAAAAAACUUGGAUUUUUGUUGCUCUUGCUUGCCUUUGCUGCAACGGCCGUUUGGGUUUUAAAUGUCUAAAGACGGGAUGGGUUUUAGAUAAGAUAAACGCAAUGUAAACUUUUUUUGUUUGGUCAUAAGGGCGAUACUGUAAACAAUUAAGCCUUUAACCGUUUUAAGGAUAAAGUAUUGUUAAUACGUUUUUUUGCAACUUUUUGGUACACUUCUAUCUCACUAAUGAAUGUUUUCUGCUGACCCUUUUAUCGUUUUAAGGAUAAAGUAUUGUUAA